Molecule: long non-coding RNA, 1229 nt
Organism: Mustela erminea (ermine)
Lineage: Eukaryota; Metazoa; Chordata; Mammalia; Carnivora; Mustelidae
Exons: 4
Source: RefSeq, a predicted model, not a curated record
CAUGGCUCAAGGCAAAGAACUCCAAGAUGGUAAAACUAGGAUCGACAGAUCCCAGAUUCCUAAUGUCACUGACUGAAGGAGUGACAGCUAGAGCAGCAGCCUCACCCGAUGAACGGUGAUGUUUUCUCUAGGACACAGGAAAUAUCUGGAUUGUUUUGUUUUGUUUCAUUUUAGUCCAAUCUGAGGAUAUCUUUCUUUUGACUGGGUUUCUUUGCUUUUUGCAGUGGAAUGGUUUUUCAGACUCUAUAGUCCACCAUUUUGUCAUCAUAAAUGAAAGUCCACAUUGUCUCUUCAUUCUGUUGAAUUCUAUCCUCACGAUAAAAUCUUGAGAGUGGUACUACUUAACUGCAUCAGAGAGCUUAAGAAUUUUUAUAGCUGUUCACAUACAUUGUUGGAUUGCUUCCCAGCCAUUCUCUUCUUGAGUGCAGGUCUGAGAAAUUGAACUUGAACUGGCUGUAAGGAAAGCUACGAAACCACUUCACACCAUGGGACCCCCACAAGACUCAAGAACUGGCAACAGCAAACAAGUUACCUUUGGAAGUGAAGGGUGAAGGGAAAGGAUUUGGCUGAAAAUCUGUGUAAGAAGAAAUUAGAACACCAAAUCCCUUCCCCACUGUUACGGGUUGAAUUGUGUCCUGUCCUCUCCCUGGGAAAAGAUGUUUUGAAGUCCUACCUCAGAAUGUGACCUUAUUUGGAAAUAGAGUUGUGGCAGAUGUAAUUAGUUAAAAUGAGGUCAUACAAGAUAGGGUGGGCCCCUAAUCCGUUUGGACUGGUGUCUUCAACAGAAUCGUUAAAACAGGAAUUGAAGGGGUUGCGUCUACAGAUCAGAAAAUCGGGGAAAGAGAGGUAGAGCCUAGUGGAUUUUAUAUAAUCAUUGUAGAACUAUUUGACCUUUAAGACUCUGUGCAAGUAUGAAUUUUAUUUUAAAAACUAAAAAAAUAAAUGUAAACACAAGAAAGCAGGAGAAUUGUUGGGACAGAGAGACAAGAGUGUGCCAGAAUAGACAAUUCUUAGCUUGCUCAAGCUGGUUGUGAAAUUUCUGGAAAUUUCAUGAACCACUUGUUAAAUACAGCCAUUAUUAAAAAAGAAAUUGUAUAAGCUUAUGAUUGAGUAAAUUAUUAUAUUAAAAGCACAGUUAGUUACUCAAAACUCAUCACUUCUGGAGCACCUGUGUCACUCAGUGAGUUAAGUGUCUGCCUUCGGCUCAGGUCAUGAUCCCGGAGUCCUGG